This is a long non-coding RNA of Solenopsis invicta (red fire ant), 2962 nucleotides long. RefSeq lists it as uncharacterized. NCBI's taxonomy places the organism in Eukaryota, Metazoa, Arthropoda, Insecta, Hymenoptera, Formicidae. The record is from RefSeq and is a predicted model, not a curated record. The transcript has 2 exons.
AUAUAAGUAUACAAAUAUAUAAUAUAUAAUAUUUAUUUCUACAUAUUAAACUCAUAAACAAAUUUUAAGAUUUGUAAUUCUUACAAUAUAUUUUAAGUUUGAAGAUUUUAAUGUGAAAAUCUAAACUUAUUAAAGUCGAUAAAGAGAUUAGAAAAAUAUAAUAUAAGAGAGUUACAGUAGCUAAUUUCAAAAGUUUUCUAAACGUUUCAGAAUUUUUUAUAUUAAAAAAAUUAUGAGAAUUACGGAUUUUGAGUCUCAAAAUAUUGAGAGUAUCGAAAAAUUAAAAAAGUAUAUGAAAACUAAUUAACUUAUAUUGUCUAAAAUUUUAAAUAUUUUAAGAAUCUCGAUUUUGAGAUUUUGAAUUGCGAAAAUCUAAAUUCUGAAAAUUAAUGAAAUAUUAGAAUGCAUUAAUCUAGACAAAGCAAAUUAUAACUCCAAAUAUUUCAAUUUUAAAAACUGUCUUUCUAUUAUUUUACAUUAUAAAUAAAACUAUGAGUAUAUUAUUUUAGAUUUCAAAGAUGAUAACACAAUAUAAUUGCGAAGAUGCAAAUAUCAAUCAGUAAAUUAUAUAAUAUCAAUUAUUAAAUAUGUAUAUUAUUUUUUAAAUAUUUGGAUUACCUUUUAGCAAAGAAAAUAUUAAAAAACGAAGCGGUCAAAACUGCCUUGUGGAAUUUAUCUCUUCAGAAAUUCAAUGUUUGAAUAAUAUAGGUAUAAAUGCAUUUCAGGAAAAGUGUAUUGUAUUUGCGAACGUACAGUUUAAUUAAUAAAAUUUAUUUUAGAUAAAGUUUCUACUACUUUGAUGUUUAUUAAAAAAUUGAUUGUUUUAUGUGCAACCAUUAUUAUUGUUUUAAUUUGCAUUAAAAUUUGUUUUAUACGGAAUUGUUUUUUUUUUAUAGUGGAUGAUAAUAGACGUUCUUGCCGACACCUUGCAUUGUUCUUCGAUUUACCGCAGCCUCGUGGAUGGUGUCUCAUCCCGAUCAAAAUUGCAUGUUGUGGUUAUACAAUGGUUCUCCGACCUGCUUUCUUCAUGCUACAAAGAAGCAGGUAGCAAUGAUCGCGCCGAGCCAGUUCUUUUCUCUACAACCCCAGGGAGAAAUGAUAUCGGAAUAUCUGUCAGAAAGGUUGACGUGCCGAGCUGCCGAUGGAACUAUUGAAUUCAGGUAAUUUGCGAAAGAGCACUCGCUUAAAAUUCAUAAAGCAAAAUUGAGCAGUGACUACGUCUUCAUUUACAUUUCUAAAGCUAAUUGGAUUUAUUUCUCUCUGGAAAGAAGCUUGAGACAGUGAGAGGAAGGGAGGGGCGCAUGAUUUUUUUUCUAGAUCUACCGAAAUCCGAAAAUAAUGCGGCUUAAUUAAAAUUAAUAAAAAUUAAUCGAAAUCAAAGAUUCUCGAGAUCUCUUGUGGGGAUCUAACGGAAUAAUUUUGACGUCGUCCUUACGGGCGUCGGGACGUUAAGAAGCGCGGAAUGACAAGAUUCCGAAGGAGGAACGAUAACAGGUUUGCGCACGCAAAGGAAGCCCGACGCGGUGCGCGCGAGAGGACGAUACCGCGCAAAGACGGCGCGGCGCGGCGGUACUGCAAUUGCGAUCGAGUGAUGAGGUAAAAAGGGAAGAGCGACCGAGAGCAUCGGAAGCGAACGGCGCCCCGAGGUUAUUACCGGAGCGGGAAGGACGGGCGGAAUGAGUUCGAACGAAGUGCACGCCCAUCCCCCGUUUAGAAUCUAGUCUACCGGAAAUUUGCAGUUACCUUGCAUUCCUUGCAGGGUCGAACGCUUCGGGGGACGUUUCUCCUAUCACCGCUCGAGGGGGGAGGAAGGGGAGGGAUCUUUAAUUGCUCGCGGCUGAAACGGGAUUUCCAAUUUUUGCAUUCGUUGCGAGUCGCGAGGAUGAUUUUCAUUCACCGGAAGGAAAAGUAGAUUUGGCAGCGGAAAGUGUUGCCGGACGGUGGGCAAUUGUCAAUGUAGGCGCACGGGCCUAAAUUUCGCGAGGUUGGAACACGAAGGUGACAAUGUCAAGUCGUUUUUCAAACUUAUUUCGCGAGAUUUGAUUUUACAUUACACCAACGUUGAUCAUAGUCGCGUUGUACUAGUGUUAAAGAAAUUAAAUACUUUGAAAUUGUUGAUAUCUCUUUCUCUGGAAUACAGCGACUUCAUUUAUAUAUUUAAAAUAUUUUUUAUUAAUUGCGUUAUUAUUUAUAGAAUUUGUAAGUAUGCAUGGAAAAUAGAGGAAAGUGUCAUCAAUUUUGAGAUCAACCUUUGAAAGUAACACCUCUUAUUUCUUGAAAACUAAACACUGCUUUUUAUGAAUUUUGAUAAAAACAUGAUCUUCUUUGAUAAUUAAAAAAUUAAAAAGCCAUAAUUUAUAUAUUCGUGCUUUUUUUAAUGCAAAAUCUGCUAAAAACAGAUUUAUCAAAAGUGGAUAUAAAAUUUGCACGAUUUUUUUUGUAGAUUGCAUAGUUUGAACAAUAUUGGUAUAAGCAUUGUUGAUAAUAUUAGUCCAUACAUAUUUGUAGUCCUAAAAUUUAUAUUUUUCUUGUUUUUAUAUUUUUCUUUUUAUAAUAAGGUUUUAAACAUAAAAUCGGGAGCAAGGUAAACUGGCACAAUUACUGAUAAAAACAGACUAUAAGAUAAUAAAAAUUAUGUAAAACAAAAUAAAAGUCACAGCAUUAUGAGAUUGCAUUUGUUAAGUUAGUUAAUCUAAUCUCUAUACAAAAUAUUGCCGCGUUACACGUUGUCUUGAGAAACAACAUAAGAUAUUUAUCAAAAUCACAAAAAGCGUUUUAUAUUAGCGAAAGACUUCUAGCUGAAUCCUCAUAUACGUGUCAACUUGUAAGUAUUUUAUAAAGAUGACUCAUGUAAAUGGAAAAAAAAGAAAAAUGUAGCAUUACUGCCUAUUAUGUUAAUGUUGGGGCUCAUUCUGUCAGACUUAAUUAUUGCAGUACUAAAAAAAUAAAAAAUUAUAGUAAA